Molecule: long non-coding RNA, 2036 nt
Organism: Raphanus sativus (radish)
Lineage: Eukaryota; Viridiplantae; Streptophyta; Magnoliopsida; Brassicales; Brassicaceae
Exons: 3
Source: RefSeq, a predicted model, not a curated record
CAGAAAUUCGAGCUCUUUGACACUGACACGUGUCCAAGACAGUAAUGUUCUGCGUUUCAUUUAUUUAUGUUUGUAAUUCAUUUGGGCUUUUGUGUAUAUUUUGUGUUUGUGUCAAGUCUUAUGAAGCCCAUCCGAUAAAGAGUAAGUCAAUAUGCUUAACACGCGUCGUUUUGUAUAUCAUAUGGGUUGAACCCUCUUCUUCUCCGCCGUCGCGAUAUGGAGUCACACCCUAGGCUUUCGAUUCAGUUGCUUAUCUUCUUCCUACCGACCCAUAAAUCCACCAGUUACAGAUUCAUUCUAUUAAAAUCUGUCUUAAAUCAUCAUUCAAUAUCUACCUUUAUAUAUAGAUGAAGACAAAGAGUAUGCAUAUCAAACGGCUGUGAACAUCGGAAGUCACGUUUGCAAAGGCAUUCAUCAGAUGAUCACCGCUACAGCUCAACCCCUGCUGCCAUAUCCGCAGAAUCCUCUCAGCACCAUCUUAACCUCUUGGCCUCAGCCACUUCAGUCGCCACUACAACCGCCGUGACCGCGAGAAAUAACAAUACCCCAUCGGUUGACCUUUCUUUGAUUUACACUGCGGCAGCAACUCCGAUCAACUCUUUUAUCACCGCCGAGAUGGCAAAUAGAGUAGAAGCAUCAACAUGUAUCUGGAGGAGAAGAGCUCAUUCAAGGCAUUUGACUUCACUGUAUAGAUCCACUGGUGCAAGACCCUCCUUGGGAGGAUGAUAGUGGAAGAGAUGAUGAAUCGGAAAGUAACACUUUUGAUUGGUCAGAUAAGAGAAGCAGUUCGCAGCUGAAGAGCUCUCAAGAGAGAGAGAGAGAGAGCAUAAUCCCUAAAGGGUAAGACUUUUGGAAUUCCAGUCUAUUUUUUGAUUUUUGGUUUUCUUGAACAGUGGGAACUACUAAAGGAAAGUAUGAAUCGAUGUGGGUAGUGGAAAAAGAGGCAUUGGAACAGGAUUGUUUGUUAACAAUUACCCAAUAAGGAAUCUGAAGUUUGAGAUGUACAGGAUUGAAACGGUGAGAUGAGCCUCGAACCUGAAAAUAUGGGGAGGAGGGAGUGGCUGAAAGAGAAUGUUAAGGAGGAGGAAUAUGUGGUUAUGAAGGCAGAGGUUGACGUGUUGGAGGUGAUGAUGAGGAGAAGGAACAUGGAGACAGACCUGAGAGGAUAUGUAUCAAACCAUGCGUUUUUUUCUUUACAUUAUCUUCUUUUUUCUUCUUUUUUGUUGUCCGAAUUGUUUUAAUCAUCUUAUGCUCAUUCUGUUUUGUUGUGGUGUUGCAGUUUCGGGGUUCUAAUAAGCUUAAUUAAUUAUGUUAAGUAAUUCCUCAUUGUUUAGGUUCUAGGUUCUAACGGUAUUUUUGUUGUUGAAUUGACUAGAUGUACUAGCAUCAUGUUAGUUGUUCUCACGAGGUUUUGACUGCAUUCAAGAAAAAGCUCAAGUUUUCUGAUAACCUAGCAUUUUUCUUUGUUACUAUUGUGCUAUGACUUCUCUUCCAUCACAUGAUCUUAGUCGUUUCUUUAUCUACCGUGAGCUGAUUGAUUCAUGACUUUCCUACUUUGUUCAUAUAGUCUCAUAUCCAGAAGCUGUCUGAUUAAGUUCUUCUACAAAUAACUCCCAUCCAAGUAUAGCUAGGUAUUUGGGCACAGUGAGAGAAGAUGAAACUUUCGGAAUCCUGCUUGAACGAGAACCUCUUUCUGGAUUCUCGAACUUCCCUUAGGUUAUCAGAGAAUUUCUGAGACACGGAUGCCCGCCAUUGCCAUAAAUCUGUACAAAGACAUGAGUAAAACCACCUCCGAGGUGAACCUUAAUGAAGGACUGUCACACCAAAGUCGAAGGAAAGGGCUGCAGGUUCUGUAUGGCUGCUAUGUGCGCGGCAUGUGUCUUUGAGGUCACACGUGAGACUGGUUAUGGCCACUACAGCAACUGACACCGUUCCGUCUAACUUUGCUUCACUUAAUAUCUCAGUUCGUAGCUCAAGAUCUUCUUUCUCUGCUGGUCAUCUUCUUACGAGUCAUCAUUAUAAUGAUAUUUGUAAUA